Molecule: long non-coding RNA, 1213 nt
Organism: Paramisgurnus dabryanus
Lineage: Eukaryota; Metazoa; Chordata; Actinopteri; Cypriniformes; Cobitidae
Source: RefSeq, a predicted model, not a curated record
UUUCUGCUUUACGUUUUAGUUUGCCCCAGGGGCGGUUCUAGACCCUUUUAAGUGGGGCUCCAGCCACCCUGCCGUCAUCUUAGCCCCCCUAAAAUUAGUCUUAAUAUUUCUACCAAACUAUCAAAUAUAUUUUUCUGAAGUUUUAUUUAUUUGUAAAAACAAUUAAUUCGAAGAUAAUUAUUUAAAAAAACGCAAAAUGCAAGACAUUUAGAAAAAAAUUACGAGUUUAUGAGGCAUUUGAUUAGCUUUGCUGUUCUGCGCAUGCGUCGUAACCGUCAGUGGAGGAGAGCUCGAGCGCCUGUGCUUCAGGUCACACAGAGGGAGCAGUUGUUUCAUAAAAUAUCCAGCGUGGAAGCUCAGAAGGUGCAUUUAUAGUCCAUCAUGACAUAAAAAAUCCUCUGCAUGCAACCACGAGGAGAGGGGGAAUUUACUAAGGAGUUUUGUCUAUAUAUUAUAUAAAAUCUACUGUUGGGUAAGUACAUUUUGUAUUAUUUGAUUAACGUGGUUAAGUUUUACUUGUUUGACACAAAUGAACCAAAAUAAACAUUGCCAGAAUUGUCCACACUGAGUAUGGCUAAAAUUAGCUAAUAGGCUAAAAGGUACUUUGAACUUACACAUGUUAUACCAUAGUAUAAAGUAUAUUUAAUGAUAGAGUCAAAGUUAUUACUUUAGCUUAUAUAUGUAGCCUUUGAGAAUUUCUUUCAGAAAUUAAAACAUCUGAAAGAGAAAAGUUAUUUGGCAUGAUGGAAUGAUUUGAUUGCCUACACAUUGCACAUGUAAAAUGUUAAAUACUGUUCUGUAUUAAAAGCUCAGCAUAAGUGUUUGAUUAACUUCCUUUGCUUUUGUUUUGUACAAAGGAAGAGCAGAACCUAAUCCAAAUAAAAAUAAACAAGCUGUUAAAAGCCAGUUGAAGGUGGUCAACACAAACCAAAUGAAGAUGUUGCACAUUCCACAAACAAUAAAAAAGAAGAUCAAGUUUUGUGUCCAACACACUUGGAUGAGACGUGCCCGACCCCUGACUUUGUCUACCCUACAUUAAGUUGUGAUGGCACACUUCAUGACAGUAAACAUCGGUAUCAAGAUGAUGUGAUUGAUCUAUACCCUAGAAUAAGCUGUGACACUAUGAGACGGUGACAUAAUGAACAGCCAUCUUCCAGACAACCGAAACAGUAUUGUCUACAAUACCAAAUUCUGGAUUGACGCCCCAGUACCA